RNAcentral lists this ribosomal RNA (253 nucleotides) under uncultured bacterium. RNAcentral's name for it is "partial 16S ribosomal RNA". It matches the Rfam family "Bacterial small subunit ribosomal RNA", at positions 524 to 776 of the family's 1533-position model. The record is from RNAcentral.
UACGUAGGCAGCGAGCGUUGUUCGGAGUUACUGGGCGUAAAGGGUGUGUAGGCGGUCCUCUAAGUUUGGUGUGAAAUCUCCCGGCUUAACCGGGAGGGUGCGCCGAAAACUGGAGGGCUAGAGUGCGGGAGGGGAGAGUAGAAUUCCUGGUGUAGCGGUGAAAUGCGCAGAUAUCAGGAGGAACACCCGUGGCGAAAGCGGCUCUCUGGGACGGUACUGACGCUGAGACGCGAAAGCGUGGGGAGCAAACAGG